Molecule: transfer RNA, 90 nt
Filed under: Paracoccus sulfuroxidans
Lineage: Bacteria; Pseudomonadati; Pseudomonadota; Alphaproteobacteria; Rhodobacterales; Paracoccaceae
Description: tRNA-Ser
Rfam family: tRNA
About the family: Transfer RNA (tRNA) molecules are approximately 80 nucleotides in length. Their secondary structure includes four short double-helical elements and three loops (D, anti-codon, and T loops). Further hydrogen bonds mediate the characteristic L-shaped molecular structure. tRNAs have two regions of fundamental functional importance: the anti-codon, which is responsible for specific mRNA codon recognition, and the 3' end, to which the tRNAs corresponding amino acid is attached (by aminoacyl-tRNA synthetases). tRNAs cope with the degeneracy of the genetic code in two manners: having more than one tRNA (with a specific anti-codon) for a particular amino acid; and 'wobble' base-pairing, i.e. permitting non-standard base-pairing at the 3rd anti-codon position.
Source: RNAcentral
GGAGAUGUGGCCGAGUGGUCGAAGGCACACCCCUGCUAAGGGUGCAGACGGGAAACUGUCUCGAGGGUUCGAAUCCCUUCGUCUCCGCCA